Long non-coding RNA from Aedes aegypti (yellow fever mosquito), 739 nucleotides. RefSeq lists it as uncharacterized. The record is from RefSeq and is a predicted model, not a curated record. NCBI's taxonomy places the organism in Eukaryota, Metazoa, Arthropoda, Insecta, Diptera, Culicidae. The transcript is spliced from 2 exons.
UCAUUGAGAACAAUGGCAAUAAACUUGAACUCUGUUCAAGUUGGGCGUUCCGGGAGGAAAAUUGACGUCGAAGAUACACACGACUUGCAGCGUGAUGGGUGGUUGAUUCGCAUCUAUUUUGGCGUUGGAACACGACGGAAUGCUCCAACUAGACGAAAGUUUACAAACACCCGAACGCGGCGCCGCUUUGGGUUAAGGUUACGGUGAACAAUCUACAGUGUCUGGAGUAACGGUUCUGAUAACAUUCGUUGAGGCACGUGAGAAUUCACAACAGGAAAUAACUCAAUCCAGCAAGAAUGGUGUGUUGCACCUCGGUUCGAUACUUGAAAAAGUUUUACGGAAAAUAAUUGUAGAAUAUGUUUUCUAUUGAUUGUGAAAAACCAUAGUUUCAAGAGAUAUUUUUAUUUCUGAUAUGAUAUUUCUAAUAUGAGGGAAGGUAGGGAACUUUUGAGCGAGUUUUAAUUUCAGAGUGUAUUACCAUAAGCUACCAAUAUAUCAACUGAUAUUCUCAGAAAUACUUAAAAUGAAACUAUGUGCAGAAAUCAUUUGUAGAACUCAGCAUCAUUCUUAUUAGUGACUUUCAGAUGCUUCUGGAGCAUUUCUAUAAAAUCUUUCAAAUAAUUUUCAAAUGAACAUAAAACAAAAACAAACAAAAACAAUGUUACGUAUGGAUAACUUCUUGCAUAAUGUACCAAAUCUCUCAACUGAAUACAAUUCUUAAAAGAGGUGAACCAACAAA